This 468-nucleotide ribosomal RNA is filed under the name uncultured bacterium. RNAcentral's name for it is "partial 16S ribosomal RNA". It matches the Rfam family "Bacterial small subunit ribosomal RNA", at positions 28 to 507 of the family's 1533-position model. The record is from RNAcentral.
GACGAACGCUGGCGGCGUGCUUAACACAUGCAAGUCGAACGGAAAGGCCCUGCUUUUGUGGGGUGCUCGAGUGGCGAACGGGUGAGUAACACGUGAGUAACCUGCCCUUGACUUUGGGAUAACUUCAGGAAACUGGGGCUAAUACCGGAUAGGAGCUCCUGCUGCAUGGUGGGGGUUGGAAAGUUUCGGCGGUUGGGGAUGGACUCGCGGCUUAUCAGCUUGUUGGUGGGGUAGUGGCUUACCAAGGCUUUGACGGGUAGCCGGCCUGAGAGGGUGACCGGCCACAUUGGGACUGAGAUACGGCCCAGACUCCUACGGGAGGCAGCAGUGGGGAAAUUUGCACAAUGGGCGGAAGCCUCAUGCAGCAACGCCGCGUGCGGGAUGACGGCCUUCGGGUUGUAAACCGCUUUCGCCUGUGACGAAGCGUGAGUGACGGUAAUGGGUAAAGAAGCACCGGCUAACUACGUG